AAACCGUAUGGGAUGCAUUUCUCAACAGAAGGAUCUUUAUCAGAGGAAGGAGCAGGGAGGGUUUCUUGAAAAAUUAAUGCUGUCCACUGAAGACUUGCUUGUCUAGUGCAAGUUAAAAUAUCUUUGACAUAGUGGAUUUUACCUUUGAAAUUCAUAAUCUUAAGAAGAUUCAAGAAAUGGAAAAGAGCGAUGAAUCUAGCACAGACUUGGAAGAGCUGAAAAACGCUGACUGGGCACGAUUCUGGGUACAGGUGAUGAGGGAUUUGAGGAAUGGGGUAAAACUUAAGAAGGUCCAAGAGCGGCAGUACAACCCUUUGCCCAUUGAAUAUCAGCUCACCCCUUAUGAGAUGUUAAUGGAUGACAUUCGCUGCAAAAGAUACACCUUGCGAAAAGUGAUGGUGAAUGGUGAUAUUCCCCCUCGGUUAAAGAAGAGUGCUCAUGAAAUCAUCCUCGACUUCAUCAGAUCCAGACCUCCUUUAAAUCCAGUCUCAGCCAGAAAACUGAAACCAACUCCACCACGGCCACGGAGCCUCCAUGAAAGAAUAUUA
RNAcentral lists this small RNA (548 nucleotides) under Pan troglodytes (chimpanzee). Its description in RNAcentral is "processed transcript". The record is from RNAcentral. Lineage: Eukaryota; Metazoa; Chordata; Mammalia; Primates; Hominidae.